ACGCCCGUGACCUAGCCCGGUUAGGACGCCGCCCUCUCAAGGCGGAAACGGGGGUUCAAAUCCCCCCCGGUGGACCA
This 77-nucleotide transfer RNA is filed under the name Thermus caliditerrae. RNAcentral's name for it is "tRNA-Glu". It matches the Rfam family "tRNA". Rfam says of the family: Transfer RNA (tRNA) molecules are approximately 80 nucleotides in length. Their secondary structure includes four short double-helical elements and three loops (D, anti-codon, and T loops). Lineage: Bacteria; Thermotogati; Deinococcota; Deinococci; Thermales; Thermaceae. The record is from RNAcentral.